CCUACGGGAGGCAGCAGUAAGGAAUCUUGCGCAAUGGGCGAAAGCCUGACGCAGCGACGCCGCGUGGGCGAUGAAGGCCUUCGGGUUGUAAAGCCCUUUUCUGGGGGACGAGGAAGGACGGUACCCCAGGAAUAAGUCACGGCUAACUACGUGCCAGCAGCCGCGGUAAAACGUAGGUGGCAAGCGUUAUCCGGAAUCACUGGGCGUAAAGGGCGUCUAGGCGGCCAGAUAAGUCAGUAGUGAAAAACCGCAGCUUAACUGCGGGACUGCUAUUGAAACUGACUGGCUUGAGGGCACCAGAGGAGAGCGGAAUUCCCGGUGUAGCGGUAAAAUGCGUAGAUAUCGGAAGGAACACCAGUGGCGAAGGCGGCUCUCGGGGGUGCAACUGACGCUGAGGCGCGAAAGCUAGGGGAGCGAACGGGAUUAGAUCCCCGGGUAGU
This 440-nucleotide ribosomal RNA is filed under the name uncultured bacterium. RNAcentral describes it as "partial 16S ribosomal RNA". It matches the Rfam family "Bacterial small subunit ribosomal RNA", at positions 338 to 794 of the family's 1533-position model. The record is from RNAcentral.